GAUGAACGCUGGCGGCGUGCCUAAUACAUGCAAGUCGAGCGAACGGACGAGAAGCUUGCUCUUCUGAUGUUAGCGGCGGACGGGUGAGUAACACGUGGAUAACCUACCUAUAAGACUGGGAUAACUUCGGGAAACCGGAGCUAAUAACGGAUAAUAUUUUGAACCGCAUGGUUCAAAAGUGAAUGACGGUCUUGCUGUCACUUAUAGAUGGAUCCGCGUUGGAUUAGCUAGUUGGUAAGGUAACGGCUUACCAAGGCAACGAUGCAUAGCCGACCUGAGAGGGUGAUCGGCCACACUGGAACUGAGACACGGUCCAGACUCCUACGGGAGGCAGCAGUAGGGAAUCUUCCGCAAUGGGCGAAAGCCUGACGGAGCAACACCGCGUGAGUGAUGAAGGUCUUCGGAUCGUAAAACUCUGUUAUUAGGGAAGAACAUAUGUGUAAGUAACUGUGCACAUCUUGACGGUACCUAAUCAGAAAGCCACGGCUAACUACGUG
This 497-nucleotide ribosomal RNA is filed under the name uncultured bacterium. RNAcentral's name for it is "partial 16S ribosomal RNA". It matches the Rfam family "Bacterial small subunit ribosomal RNA", at positions 28 to 507 of the family's 1533-position model. The record is from RNAcentral.